UAUAUCGUUGGGCUCAGUCCAAUUCCAACAAUUUCCGAAUAUAGGAAACGAACAAUACAAAUCAGUUUUAGCAGAAAUGAAAUCGUUGGUGUCACCGAAUUGUUAUUGAUGAUUUGAAAUGUUACAUUAAAAACAUCAAAAAACAAUUCUUUACAAAUCUAAUAAAACAACCAAGUUCUUACUCGCCCGCUGAAAGCUCCAAAUCAACCCUGCACAAGUUCGAAAAUCAUAGGGGAAUGUGUGUUAUAUAAUAAAAUAAAAAAGGGCUAAACGAAGUGAAUACAAGAACAAAUAACAAAAAUCAUCAUCAGAAUGGAAAGUUGUUCUCAUCCACAGCAAAAUUUAUGCUGUGUAGGAAGGUGUCCUAAGAUUAUUCCAUAUCUCAUCAAAUGAUGAACAUAUCUGACUAACCCAUCAAAACAAUUUUGAUAUAACUCAAAAACACAAAAUCAAAAGCAAAUCAAGACAUUAGAUUCAGAAGUGUAUCAGUUAGCAUCACUCGAUAUUGAAUAUCUCAGAUCAAGUGUUGGAUAAUAUGAUUGCUUCAUCCCAAUCUAUGAUCCAUGACUAACUAGAAUUCAAAAACAGACAGAAACAAACAUCAGACCAAAAGUUUCAAGUGGGAAAGGGAAAUCAACUCAGUGGUGGCGAUAUAAUAAUUAGGUUCGAUUCUGCCAGCAAUUUUCCUCAACUUUAACUCAGAAGAGGGAGCUUGGUAUCCUCAUAGCAAUUCCCUUUCCCACGAAAAUUUAUAAUUAAAAACAAUUUUCACAGAAAAUCAUAAAUUAAAAGCAUACGAAUCUCUAGGCUAUCAAAUGUGAAAGGGAAAGAGAUGGCUCAGUUCAGCGGGGUUGUCGACACGCAAACUUCUCUAUGAAAGAGAAGCCUGCAUUCCGGUCUGUUGAGCUUGAAUUUCAUUGGGUCAUCACCGCCAUCUCUUUCUCUCAUCAACUCAUUUCAAACAAAAAACUAGCUUUCGACCAUUGAAACAAUUACAGGGCAAUUUGGAGGCAGGGAGAGUGAAACUAAACCCUAGAUGAAGAUGAGGGGCGGGGUUGACACUGGGAUGCAGUCGUUGGGCAUCGUUUUAUAGAGACAGAGCUAGGGUUUUCG
RNAcentral lists this long non-coding RNA (1113 nucleotides) under Prunus dulcis (almond). Its description in RNAcentral is "sRNA ncRNA". The record is from RNAcentral. Lineage: Eukaryota; Viridiplantae; Streptophyta; Magnoliopsida; Rosales; Rosaceae.